This 429-nucleotide ribosomal RNA is filed under the name Chloroflexota bacterium. Its description in RNAcentral is "Chloroflexi bacterium partial 16S ribosomal RNA". It matches the Rfam family "Bacterial small subunit ribosomal RNA", at positions 355 to 776 of the family's 1533-position model. The record is from RNAcentral. Lineage: Bacteria; Bacillati; Chloroflexota.
UGGGGAAUAUUGCACAAUGGGCGCAAGCCUGAUGCAGCCAUGCCGCGUGUAUGAAGAAAGCCUUCGUGUUGUAAAGUACUUUCAGCGUGGAGGAAGGGAGUAAAGUUAAUACCCUUGCCCAUUGACGUUACCCGCAGAAGAAGCACCGGCUAACUCCGUGCCAGCAGCCGCGGUAAUACGGAGGGUGCAAGCGUUAAUCGGAAUUACUGGGCGUAAAGCGCACGCAGGCGGUUUGUUAAGUCAGAUGUGAAAUCCCCGGGCUCAACCUGGGAACUGCAUCUGAUACUGGCAAGCUUGAGUCUCGUAGAGGGGGGUAGAAUUCCUGGUGUAGCGGUGAAAUGCGUAGAGAUCUGGAGGAAUACCGGUGGCGAAGGCGGCGCCCUGGACGAAAACAGACGCUCAGGUGCGAAAGCGUGGGGAGCGAACAGG